UACGAACGACUCUCGGCAACGGAUAUCUCGGCUCUCGCAUCGAUGAAGAACGUAGCGAAAUGCGAUACUUGGUGUGAAUUGCAGAAUCCCGUGAACCAUCGAGUCUUUGAACGCAAGUUGCGCCCCAAGCCGUCAGGCUGAGGGCACGUCUGCCUGGGUGUCACGCAU
This 168-nucleotide ribosomal RNA is filed under the name Xyloolaena richardii. Its description in RNAcentral is "5.8S ribosomal RNA". It matches the Rfam family "5.8S ribosomal RNA". Rfam says of the family: 5.8S ribosomal RNA (5.8S rRNA) is a component of the large subunit of the eukaryotic ribosome. It is transcribed by RNA polymerase I as part of the 45S precursor that also contains 18S and 28S rRNA. Functionally, it is thought that 5.8S rRNA may be involved in ribosome translocation. The record is from RNAcentral. Lineage: Eukaryota; Viridiplantae; Streptophyta; Magnoliopsida; Malvales; Sarcolaenaceae.